CGAGUGAAGCGGCAACAGCUCAAAUUUGAAAUCUGGCGUCUUUGGCGUCCGAGUUGUAAUUUGCAGAGGGCGCUUUGGCAUUGGCAGCGGUCCAAGUUCCUUGGAACAGGACGUCACAGAGGGUGAGAAUCCCGUACGUGGUCGCUAGCCUUUACCGUGUAAAGCCCCUUCGACGAGUCGAGUUGUUUGGGAAUGCAGCUCUAAAUGGGAGGUAAAUUUCUUCUAAAGCUAAAUACUGGCCAGAGACCGAUAGCGCACAAGUAGAGUGAUCGAAAGAUGAAAAGCACUUUGGAAAGAGAGUUAAAAAGCACGUGAAAUUGUUGAAAGGGAAGCGCUUGCAGCCAGACUUGCCUGUAGUUGCUCAUCCGGGUUUCUACCCGGUGCACUCUUCUAUAGGCAGGCCAGCAUCAGUUUGGGCGGUUGGAUAAAGGUCUCUGUCAUGUACCUCCUUUCGGGGAGAACUUAUAGGGGAGACGACAUGCAACCAGCCUGGACUGAGGUCCGCGCAUCUGCUAGGAUGCUGGCGUAAUGGCUGUAAGCGGCCCGUCUUGAAACACGGACCAAGGAGUCUAACAUCUAUGCGAGUGUUUGGGUGUCAAGCCCGAGCGCGUAAUGAAAGUGAACGGAGGUGGGAACCUUUCGGGGUGCACCAUCGACCGAUCCUGAUGUCUUCGGAUGGAUUUGAGUAAGAGCAUAGCUGUUGGGACCCGAAAGAUGGUGAACUAUGCUUGAAUAGGGUGAAGCCAGAGGAAACUCUGGUGGAGGCUCGCAGCGGUUCUGACGUGCAAAUCGAUCGUCAAAUUUGGGCAUAGGGGCGAAAGACUAAUCGAACUAUCUAGUAGCUGGUUCCUGCCGAAGUUUCCCUCAGGAUAGCAGUAACGUUUUCAGUUUUAUGAGGUAAAGCGAAUGAUUAGAGGCAUGGGGGUUGAAACAACCUU
RNAcentral lists this ribosomal RNA (938 nucleotides) under Leptosphaerulina miscanthi. RNAcentral's name for it is "Leptosphaerulina sp. QC-2020a partial large subunit ribosomal RNA". It matches the Rfam family "Eukaryotic large subunit ribosomal RNA", at positions 90 to 1048 of the family's 3401-position model. Lineage: Eukaryota; Fungi; Ascomycota; Dothideomycetes; Pleosporales; Didymellaceae. The record is from RNAcentral.